This 598-nucleotide ribosomal RNA is filed under the name uncultured bacterium. RNAcentral's name for it is "bacterial SSU rRNA". It matches the Rfam family "Bacterial small subunit ribosomal RNA", at positions 66 to 635 of the family's 1533-position model. The record is from RNAcentral.
ACGCUUCUUUUCCACCGGAGCUUGCUCCACCGGGAAAAGAGGAGUGGCGAAUCGGGUGAGUAACACGUGGGUAACCUGCCCAUCAGAAGGGGAUAACACUUGGAAACAGGUGCUAAUACCGUAUAACAAUCGAAACCGCAUGGUUUCGUUUUGAAAGGCGCUUUACGGUGCCGCUGAUGGAUGGACCCGCGGUGCAUUAGCUAGUUGGUGAGGUAACGGCUCACCAAGGCCACGAUGCAUAGCCGACCUGAGAGGGUGAUCGGCCACAUUGGGACUGAGACACGGCCCAAACUCCUACGGGAGGCAGCAGUAGGGAAUCUUCGGCAAUGGACGAAAGUCUGACCGAGCAACGCCGCGUGAGUGAAGAAGGUUUUCGGAUCGUAAAACUCUGUUGUUAGAGAAGAACAAGGGUGAGAGUAACUGUUCACCCCUUGACGGUAUCUAACCAGAAAGCCACGGCUAACUACGUGCCAGCAGCCGCGGUAAUACGUAGGUGGCAAGCGUUGUCCGGAUUUAUUGGGCGUAAAGCGAGCGCAGGCGGUUUCUUAAGUCUGAUGUGAAAGCCCCCGGCUCAACCGGGGAGGGUCAUUGGAAACUG